UACAGAGGGAGCUAGCGUUGUUCGGAAUUACUGGGCGUAAAGCGCGCGUAGGUGGCUUGGUAAGUUAGGAGUGAAAUCCCAGGGCUUAACCCCGGAAUUGCUCUUAAGACUGCUAAGCUCGAGGUAGGCAGAGGAUGGUAGAAUUCCUAGUGUAGCGGUGAAAUGCGUAGAUAUUAGGAGGAAUACCAGUGGCGAAGGCGGCCAUCUGGGCCUAUUCUGACACUAAAGUGCGAAAGCGUGGGGAUCAAAC
RNAcentral lists this ribosomal RNA (250 nucleotides) under uncultured bacterium. RNAcentral's name for it is "partial 16S ribosomal RNA". It matches the Rfam family "Bacterial small subunit ribosomal RNA", at positions 524 to 773 of the family's 1533-position model. The record is from RNAcentral.